AUGGGACACUGGCUAAAAGUGGGAUUUUCCAGGGGAUGUCCUUAUAUAGUAAAAGUGGCUAUUGACUCAUCCAAAUUUAAAAAAAAAUCAUUUAGGCAGAGAGGCUUCCAUAGAAGAGCUAUUUUCAUUUUUCUUGCUGACUCAAAGAGUUCUGGAGAAAAUGCUUUAGCUUUUCUUAAUUGUUACAGUUGCACAAAGAAAUAUCUGUGUUGCUAUUGCCAUUAGAACUGCUAUUGGCUCUGUUGUGCAAUUUGUUUUCAAAGGAGGUCUGGCAGGAUGAGUGCUCUCAUUUCUGACUUGCUGCUGCCCAGGGCAGUGGGUGACUGUGACAACAUCUUUUAUUGUUUCCAGCUUCCAAAAGAUCCACACCUGGCAAAGCAGUGUCACCUGUCAGUCACUGCUUCAAAACAUGUAACUCCAUUCAGCAGAAGACUUUAAAGCAGCAUGUGCAGAGAAUUUCCUGUAUUUAAGAUGAGUGAUGAAUUUUUUUGCAUGAAAGAGAAGAAACAACAAAAAGAAGGAAGGAAGGAAAGCAGUAAAAUGAAUGUGGUGAUCAAUGAAGAGAGGACUCCUAGAGAACAAAGGAUUAAAUCUUCAACACAUUUUUUUCCUUCUCUUUAUAUAGGAGCCAAGGGGAUGGUUAAUACUUUGCUACAACAGCAGCUGAUUCUCAAAAUAAGUGUUGGGAAGGGCAAUCAGGCAUCCCCCUCUUAGAAAAUAAUUUCAGACAUCAUGAGGCAGACACAGUGUUUCUGAUGUUCACAAGGAAAUCACGGUGGUAGACAAUGAGUCCCCAGUCCUUCUCUCAAAAUAUCAAACCUGCCUGUUCUUUUCUGUAAUUCCCACUGUGUCUGCUUUUGAAAGUAGUCAAACAGCUUCCUUUGAGUUUGAGCUUUCCCCAUCUGCUGACUUGCAGGCUUUUUAUUUCAUCCCAUCUCCUGCACAGAGGCCUCAUGCUCCUGCCAGCAGAAAUUCCCACACCACUGUCUCCCAGGAGGAAACUCCUUCCUACCUCUUUCUUAAAAUAUUUUUUUCCCUCUAGUUUGUCUGAGUAAUAUCCCAACCACUGUUCCUACAAGAGGAAAAGUGGUGGAUGACAAAGCACAUCCAAAGCCUUCUGUAGGGUUAACGAUUUUUGGGAGUGCUGUUAUGGAAGGAUUUAGCCACUCAUAGAUAAUUGCUUCUGCUUUGACUAUUUGUGAGGAAGAGAAAAAUAUACUUUUGAAUGAACCCAAUGCUAUAAGGAAAUUGUGUCUACUUAUGGGUUUCCUACCUGCUGGCUGUUGAUCUAUCGACUGGUACAAAGACAGCCUGGGAGAGGAUUUCAAGGGGUGCACAGCAGAGUCAGUGCACAGAGGUCAUUGAGAAGCCUGCAGUCCCUCUCAGAGGGCAAACAGUGUCCAGUUUCUGCACCCCGCCACCUCUGAGCUUGGGCACUGUACCUCUCACAGAGGCAAGGUGCUGUGAGGAGGUGAUGCUGGCAUCCUGCCUCCUCCUGAUUUUGAGAUUGCCAGGAGCUGGGACUCUCACUACCUCCCACAGUGGCAGCUUUUUCUGACUUAUACUGUGGGUCUGACAAUACCAUUUUUCUUUAGUUAAGAACAAAAAUGCAGUCUAGGCAAUCAUAGUAUAGAUAUUGCUGAUCUUAGGAUUUAGUGCAAGCUGACAUAAUUUUUCUCCCUUCUUCACUGAGGACAGCCAUCAUUACCCUCUCCACUUUUGAUUUCUUUCUUUUUUUUUUAAUAAAUAUUUCUGGUUAGUUAGAUUCUUAUUCCAUUAAAGUCUGUAUUUACCCAUAGCCAUGGGUAUGGGUACCAUGCAGUAACCAGCAGUCUGCUUCCAGAAACAAUUGAUGCCUUGAAGAAAGGUGAGUGCAUGGAGAAUACAACAUUUCAGAGUGCCAUCUUUCAUUGUAAAACUCUAAAAGUGAACAAAGUAUACAUGGGAUUAAAGAUCCUGUGAAAGGAUUUAAGCAAAAAAAUAAAUAGCUGAAUGAGACAAUGACAAAAUAACAGCAACAUCAGUAUGCUUUAUCCAAAUAAAUAUUUUACAUUGGAAAGGCAGAAACUGUCAAACUGUAAAGCAUGAAACUUGCCUGAGGCCUUUGAUACGAGAUACAGACUUUUCCAGAACACAUAAACUAAGAGUAUAAAUUGAUGUAAGUACUUUUCAUCUCCCCUUUUUGUCCAUGAUGUAAUUAUUUUGGCAGUUAAUAAGACAUUCAGGGUUGCACCUCCAUCUUCCUUGACUUGAUACAGCCAACAGAUAAAAUAAUCCCCCGCAACAAUUCAACCUCUAGCUAUGAGUCACUAUCUCUGAUGAGAAUGUGUCACUCUGUGUUAUCUUGGGCACAAGAAACAGCCAGGGCUUUUUUGAAACUUUUUCAUUGGGAAUUAGAAUUUCCUGGGGUGUUUAUUCAAUUUGUAUGUAUUAAACACCCAACCAAGGGGUUGUUGACCUGCCUAUUCUCAGGCAUUGAACUCUUCAGAGACACAAUAUCAUGACAGAUGAAGGGAAAGAGUCUGGAUUAAUGGAGUUAAGGAGGCAUCAAAGACAAAACAGUCUCUCAAAUACACACACACACACACACAAGUGCAGUUCUCCCUUUUUCCUCACACAAGUCUCAAGGAUUUCUCUACUAGGAGGACAGAAAAUAUGCCCUAGAUCCUAAACCUUUCCAUUACAAUAGACCCACUUCCUUUGGAUCAGAACAUAGAUCAAAUAUCUCUAAAAUAAUUUUCGUAUAUUUAGAUAUUUUUCAUCAGAUUUUAUUGUUUAUCAUUCUUUCCAUGCACCAGAAUUAUAUUCCCUGAAUGGUUUAAGAAAUAACCAGUUUUAAGUACAUACAAAGUAGAUUCCCAGACAGAAGCAAGGCUCAAGAAUUACAGGGACUAUGGGUAUCUCUGUGAUAUUGCCUCUGCUUUCUUCCAGGUGAGAGAUGAGUGAUGAAGGGUUACUUAAUGGAAUACUUAUGUGUAAUUAGACAGGGUGGAGGAAGAAAUUGUCACCUUCUCUUCCCAAAUUGUGUUUGUGAUAAUUACUGAGAGCUUAUACUGUUUUAUAUUGUUUUAUCUCCAAAAUGGGAACAGCGUAAACAUGCAUUCACAAUAGGGAUUUGAGAAAAUAGGAAGAGAUUAUCUGAAAUACAGUUAGAAAAUUCAGAUGUUAUGAGAAAAGAGAAUAGAUUUGCAAGAAGGAAGAAACUGCCAGCCAGUCAGCCUCCCCUCCAUCCCUGGAGCAGAUCAUUCUGGAGCUCAUCAACAUCAAUUUUUUCUAUAACCCUGGCAACAGGGCAAGGAAUAGUGUCCAUAAACUGAAAUACAAGAAGCUCCAGCUCAACGUGAGGAAGACCUUCUUUAUGUUGAGGGUGGCAGAGCACUGGAACAGGCUUCCCAGGGUAAUGACAGAAUCUUCCUCUCUGAAGACAUUCAAAACCCACCUGGAUGUGUUCCUGUGUAACCUGCUUUAGGUGACUCUGCCUUGACAGGGGGAUUGGACUAGAUGAUCCCCAGAGGUCUUUUCCAACCCUGGUGAAUCUGUGGUUAAAAAAAAACAAAACCCAAACUAAUCCUGUAGUUACCAAUACUGGUUUGGUAUUGGUAACUUGUUAUAUAUGGAAGCUUAUAUAACUAGUACAAGUCAGUAUGUCACACUGCUGAUCCCUCUCACUGACUUUCUCUACUGAAGACAGGUGGAAAACACCAGCAACAUUGAUGCAGUCUAAAACAUGUGGCUCCUCUCAAAAUUUACCAUGUCCUGGUUGGCACUGGAAGCAAACUUCAAUACUGACAAGUAAAUCUGAAUGGCUGAAAAGUGCACAGGGCAUCAUGAUGCUUCUGAACAGUCUUUGCAGGGAUUACUCUGCUAUUUUGGUUUUGUAACCUAUACCAGCCUCUUCAGCAUGCAGAAGGAUGCAUUCACAGCCCUGUUUGAGGAGCUCAUUCUGGAGAAUAAUACAGCUGUCU
Molecule: long non-coding RNA, 3965 nt
Organism: Passer domesticus (house sparrow)
Lineage: Eukaryota; Metazoa; Chordata; Aves; Passeriformes; Passeridae
Exons: 3
Source: RefSeq, a predicted model, not a curated record